UUUUGGGGAAUUUUUGGGAAUGGAACUGGAGGAUUUUUAGGAUUUUUUGGGGGGGAAUUUUUGGGACCAGAAUUGGGGAAUUUUUUGGGAAUUUUUUUGGGCUGGAAUUGGAGGAUUUUUGUGGGAUUUUUUGGAAAUUUUUGGGGCUGGAAUUGGGGCAUUUUUGGGAAUUUUUUGGGAAUGGAACUGGGGAUUUUUUGGGAAUUUUUGGGGCUGGAAUUGGGGCAUUUUUGGGAUUUUUUGGGGAUUUUUGGGACCAGAAUUGGGGAAUUUUUGAGAAUUUUUGGGACUGAAAUUGGGGGAUUUUGGGGAAUUUUUGGGAAUGGAACUGGAGGAUUUUUUAGGAAUUUUUGGGACAGGAAUUGGGGAUUUUUUGGGAAUUUUUGGGGCUGGAAUUGGGGGAUUUUUGGGGAAUUUUUGGGAAUGGAACUGGAGGAUUUUUAGGAUUUUUUGGGGGGGAAUUUUUGGGACCAGAAUUGGGGAAUUUUUUGGGAAUUUUUUUGGGCUGGAAUUGGAGGAUUUUUGUGGGAUUUUUUGGAAAUUUUUGGGGCUGGAAUUGGGGCAUUUUUGGGAAUUUUUUGGGAAUGGAACUGGGGAUUUUUUGGGAAUUUUUGGGGCUGGAAUUGGGGGAUUUUUUGGGAAUUUUUGUGGAUUUUUUUGCCAUUCCCACCUCGUCCAUGGCGCGGAUCUCCAGGCGCAGUUUGUCCAUGACCGUGAUGAAAAGCUGCCAAAAUUCCAACGGAAAUUUGGGAUCAGCCCCAGCCCAAAUAUCCCCAAAAUCCCCCCAAAAAUCCCUUAAAAAAUAACAAAACACACAAAAAAAAAAUCCCCCAAAAAUCUCUUAAAAAAUCCCAAAAUCCUGCCCCAAAAAUUCCCAAAAAAUCCCCAAUUCCUGUCCCAAAAAUUCCCAAAAAAUCCCCAAUUCCUGUCCCAAAAAUUUCCCAAAAAAUCCCCAAUUCCUGUCCCAAAAAUUCCCAAAAAAUCCCCAAUUCCUGUCCCAAAAAUUCCCAAAAAAUCCCCCAAAUCCAGCCCCAAAAAUUCCCAAAUAAUUUUCAAAAAUCCCCCAAUUCCAGCCUCAAAAAUUCCCAAAAAAUCCCAAUUCCACUCCCAAAAAUUCCCCAAAAUCCCCCAAUUUUAGUCCCAAAAAUUCCCAAAAAUC
RNAcentral lists this long non-coding RNA (1159 nucleotides) under Chloebia gouldiae (Gouldian finch). RNAcentral's name for it is "Erythrura gouldiae (Gouldian finch) lncRNA (ENSEGOG00005011804.1)". Lineage: Eukaryota; Metazoa; Chordata; Aves; Passeriformes; Passeridae. The record is from RNAcentral.